Molecule: small RNA, 221 nt
Filed under: Ipomoea nil (Japanese morning glory)
Lineage: Eukaryota; Viridiplantae; Streptophyta; Magnoliopsida; Solanales; Convolvulaceae
Description: Early nodulin 40
Rfam family: Early nodulin 40
Source: Rfam by way of RNAcentral
AUGCAGUACUGGGAUGAAGCAAUCCAUGGAUCUUGAAAAAGCUAGCUAGGGGAAGAACAACUCCAGCUAGCCUGCUCAUACUUAGCCAUUUUCUUUUUCCCAGAUUUGAUGCUGCGGGAUCUUCAUCUGCAGGUUAAGCUAGGCAAAGGGUUUUGGCUAAUAAUGCAUGGUGAAAAACCGGCAAGUCACAGAAUGGCAAUCGACUCAGCUUUUAGAGUCUA